Molecule: ribosomal RNA, 406 nt
Filed under: uncultured bacterium
Lineage: Bacteria
Description: partial 16S ribosomal RNA
Rfam family: Bacterial small subunit ribosomal RNA
Source: RNAcentral
AUUGAACGCUGGCGGCAUGCCUAACACAUGCAAGUCGAACGAGUGGCGGACGGGUGAGUAAUGUCUGGGAAACUGCCUGAUGGCGGGGGAUAACUACUGGAAACGGUAGCUAAUACCGCAUACCAUCGGAUCGGCCCAGAUGGGAUUAGCUUGUUGGUGGGGUAACGGCUCACCAAGGCAACGAUCCCUAGCUGGUCUGAGAGGAUGACCAGCCACACUGGAACUGAGACACGGUCCAGACUCCUACGGGAGGCAGCAGUGGGGAAUAUUGCACAAUGGGCGAAAGCCUGAUGCAGCCAUGCCGCGUGUAUGAUGAAGGCCUUCGGGUUGUAAAGUACUUUCGGCGGGGAGGCGUUAUCUGCAGAAGAAGCACCGGCUAACUCCGUGCCAGCAGCCGCGGUAAUAC